RNAcentral lists this ribosomal RNA (630 nucleotides) under uncultured Acidobacteriota bacterium. RNAcentral describes it as "bacterial SSU rRNA". It matches the Rfam family "Bacterial small subunit ribosomal RNA", at positions 61 to 723 of the family's 1533-position model. Lineage: Bacteria; Pseudomonadati; Acidobacteriota. The record is from RNAcentral.
GUCGAACGAGAAAGGGUAGCAAUACCUGAGUAAAGUGGCGCACGGGUGAGUAACACGUGACUAACCUACCCUGGAGUGGGGGAUAACUGAGGGAAACCUUAGCUAAUACCGCAUAACACCUACGGGUCAAAGGAGCAAUUCGCUUCAGGAGGGGGUCGCGGCCGAUUAGUUAGUUGGCGGGGUAACGGCCCACCAAGACGAUGAUCGGUAUCCGGCCUGAGAGGGCGCACGGACACACUGGAACUGAAACACGGUCCAGACUCCUACGGGAGGCAGCAGUGGGGAAUUUUGCGCAAUGGGGGAAACCCUGACGCAGCAACGCCGCGUGGAGGAUGAAGUACUUCGGUACGUAAACUCCUUUCGAUCGGGACGAUUAUGACGGUACCGAGAGAAGAAGCCCCGGCUAACUUCGUGCCAGCAGCCGCGGUAAUACGAGGGGGGCGAGCGUUGUUCGGAAUUAUUGGGCGUAAAGGGUGCGUAGGCGGUUUGGUAAGUCUGAUGUGAAAUCUAUGGGCUCAACUCAUAGUCUGCAUCGGAAACUGCCGGGCUUGAGUAUGGGAGAGGUGAGUGGAAUUCCUGGUGUAGCGGUGAAAUGCGUAGAUAUCAGGAGGAACACCUGUGGCGAAAGCG